Molecule: non-coding RNA, 362 nt
Organism: Carica papaya (papaya)
Lineage: Eukaryota; Viridiplantae; Streptophyta; Magnoliopsida; Brassicales; Caricaceae
Source: RefSeq, a predicted model, not a curated record
UUUAAAAUUUAAACAAACGAUAAACCUUUGCUUCCAUGGCUGAAAAACUUGAAAGGAAAGAACCAAAAAGCAUGAUGAAAAGCAGGAAGCUAGAUCGAGGAGCAGCGCAGAGAUAGUCUGAUAAUCGCAUAUGGCGAGAACGCAGAGUAGGCCUUUGGAGGAGAAGACAAGCGCGAGGAAGGGAAGUCUCGGUGCCGGUGACUGAAGGACCUCGGAGGCGUGCUUCACCAGCUUUCAGCUGUAGGGAGCCCAGUCAAGAGGGUGGAACCGCAUUCGCAAUCAAAAGGUGAAAAAAGCAAGGAACCCCAAAGGAGUUUCUGACGCCGAAAGGGAGGAAGCUGAAGAGAGUGAGAGGCUAGAAG